CAAAAACAUUGCCCCAUGAAUUCAUAUGUGGGGUAAUUCCUGCCCAGUGACUUUGGUUUAACGGCCGCGGUAUCCUAACCGUGCAAAGGUAGCAUAAUAAUUUGCCUAUUAAUUGUAGGCUAGAAUGAAGGGACUAACGAAAUUGAGUCUGUCUCUUACUAUAAAGUAAAAAUUAACCCUUGGGUGAAGAGGCCCAAAUAAAUUCGAAAGACAAGAAGACCCUAUAGAGCUUUAUUUUAAUGGGAUAAUUUUAUCUCUUGUAGUUUGGUUGGGGCGACCAAGGAUUAAAUUUAUCAUCCUUUUUUUAAAGAUUAAUUUAUCUAAAUUGUGACCCUUGUUAUAAAGAUCAUUAGAACAAGCUACCUUAGGGAUAACAGGCUAAUUCUAUUUGAGAGUUCUUAUUGAAAGUAGAGUUUGGCACCUCGAUGUUGGCUUAGGAGUUCUAGGUGGCGCAAAAGUCAUAAAAGAGGGUUUGUUCAACCCUUAAUUUCCUACGUGAUCUG
Molecule: ribosomal RNA, 503 nt
Filed under: Drawida sp. bl
Lineage: Eukaryota; Metazoa; Annelida; Clitellata; Moniligastrida; Moniligastridae
Description: partial 16S ribosomal RNA
Rfam family: Bacterial large subunit ribosomal RNA
Source: RNAcentral